UACAGGGGGGGCAAGCGUUGUUCGGAAUUACUGGGCGUAAAGGGUUUGUAGGUGGCUUGCUCAGUCAGACGUGAAAUCCCUCAGCUUAACUGGGGAACUGCGUCUGAUACUAGCGAGCUUGAGUUCAGGAGAGGAACGCGGAAUUCCAGGUGUAGCGGUGAAAUGCGUAGAUAUCUGGAGGAACACCGGUGGCGAAGGCGGCGUUCUGGACUGCAACUGACACUGAAAAGCGAAAGCCAGGGGAGCAAACGGG
RNAcentral lists this ribosomal RNA (253 nucleotides) under uncultured bacterium. Its description in RNAcentral is "partial 16S ribosomal RNA". It matches the Rfam family "Bacterial small subunit ribosomal RNA", at positions 524 to 776 of the family's 1533-position model. The record is from RNAcentral.